RNAcentral lists this long non-coding RNA (4535 nucleotides) under Canis lupus familiaris (dog). RNAcentral describes it as "lncRNA (ENSCAFG00000059310.1)". The record is from RNAcentral. Lineage: Eukaryota; Metazoa; Chordata; Mammalia; Carnivora; Canidae.
UUUUUUUUUUUUUUUGGAGUUUGAAUUUUUAAUAAGUGUCCCAACAGCCUCUAAGGAAUGGUCUUAGGGCCACCCUUGAGCUAUACUGACAAAGGGACAUACAUUCUAGGAGAAGGUCUAGAAGGCGGGUGUCUAUCUUAUUCAUAAAUGAACUCCUAGCACUUGAAGAGUAUAUAGCUCAGAUUAUACACACUCAACAAAUAUGUAUUGAUUUAAUUAAUGAAUGGAGACCUGCCCUGUCUCCUGGCACCCUAUGUGAGUAGAAGGCUUGGUAAUAUUUUUUAGUGAAUGACAGCUUUGGAAAAGCUACAAAGGUAAUGCCGUGGCCGCAUAAAGGACUCAGGAUUAUGUAAAUGUAGAAUGAGGCAGUUCAGAAUUAGUUUUCUGGUUGCAAGGAGUAAUCAUAUGUGGAUCUUGACCUACCCCCAAAGAUCUGACAGGCUGAGGAGGUGGGGGGCAGUAUUGGAAAGGGACCCUUAGAAGCUUAGCCUGCAAAUCACUGUUCUGCACAGCAUCUCACCAUUCACCCUCCCCUCACUAGGAUUCUGGAGGAAAGUCCUGAAUGAAGAGCUGACUGGCUGAUGGAAGGCAGGGCCAGGAAUGAGGAGCAGCAAGCAGUUGCGGGGGGGCGGGGGGCAGUAGGGAAAGAGAGCUCCAAGCCACAGGGCACUGCACACGGGGGACACCUGCUCUGACCUAUAAGGGACACAGAGCACACUCAGCACCACACCCUUAGAGGCAGCUGCCUCUUCUGCUUAGUGCAGAGUGAAACCCCAAAUUGGCUGCUUUGGGCCAAGGCAUUUACCCUGUGGCACUUAGCCUAUUGUCAGGUUAAAUUUAUUCUUUUGUCUUCUGACUGACUUUGAUAAAAAAAAAAAAUAGUGUCAAUCUAACUAAGAGGAGAAAUCCUACAACUUCUUUCAAUGACUCAUUGCUGGGCCUUGUAACCCACUGUCAGGGAAUUCUCAUGCCUCAUGUCUGAUGUCAGUUGGGAGAACAGAGAAAGCAAUCCUUACUUCCACUGAACUGCAUCAUUAGACUUCCUAAGAGCACUAUUCACAGUGGGUAGAUCUGGGCUCCGGCAGUUGCUCUGAGCAGGACUGGCUGCCUUAGAAAUCUUGCUAACAUCUAUGAUGGCUUAGUUGACAUUUUGUCUGGCCUAUUUUCCUUUUACCCGUGGAAAGAAACAGGAUAUGGGGCAUAGCCUGGUUAAACUGUUAAACUGGACUUCUUCCCAAUACCAUCAUGCUUGAGGAAGCAAUUAAUGAUGGAUCCAGAAUCUGUUUUUGGACAGUCUGAGAAAAUUUUCCAAUCGGUAUUUUCUUCCUCAGAGUUCAAAUGAAGGAUUCACCUAUGGAUUACUGUGUGUGUAUUCUAUUCCCAUGCACAAAGAUAUGUGAGACCUAGGUUCUGGCUUGAGAUGUAACCUUGUAUGAGAAGCAUAAACUGGGGCACCUGGGUGGCUCAGUGGUUUAGCGCCUGCCUUUGGUCCAGGGAAUGAUCCUGGAGUCCUGGGAUCGAGUCCCACAUCGGGCUCCCUGCGUGGAGCCUGUUUCUCCCUCUGUCUGUGUCUCUGCCUCUCUGUGUGUCUCUCGUGAAUAAAUAAAUAAAAUCUUAAAAAAAAAAGAAGCAUAAACCCCCCAGAUCUCAUAUUCAUCUGUAACGGAGUAGAUUCUGCUACUGGCCGUGAAAAAAAAAUCCUCUAACGUUUUCUCAUCACACUUAAAAUUCCAGUUACUUACAUCUUUAUGAUUUGGGGCCCAGCUACUGUUCCCACCUCUCUGUUUCAUGCACUGGCCCUCUUUGUUCCUCUAGCACUCCAAGCUUAUUCCUGCUUUGGGCCCUCUGCACUUAUCUCCUCCCUCAAAAUUCUGCUCCCCACAACAUCUCCACUUCUCCACAUGAAAUGCUGUUACCACAGAUUUUUGCAUGGCUGGCUCCUUCGUGUUAUUCAGGUGCCAGGUUCAAAUUUGACCUUUCUGGAGAGGCUUCCGUGGCCAUUCAAUCUCAUUCCCUGAUUUAAUUUUUUCAAAGCAUUUACCAUUACCUGGAAUUACCUUGUUUAUUUGGUACUCUGCUUGUUUGCAAAUAGUUCUGCCAUAACAUGACAUACAUGUUCCUAAAAAUCGCUGCACCUGUAGUUGUACAAUAUGAACCACUGGGCUUAUGGCAAAAAUGAGGUUGUGGGCCAAAUACCCAAAAACUUCAUCAGUGGCACAUUAAAAAAGAUGGGAACAAUAAAAAUGUAACACAGUCUUAUUUAUGUUAUGUGCUCAAGAUAUUCAUAUAUACCACAAUAAAUAUGUCACCUUAUCUUGAAAAACACUUGAGGUUUGCCUGUGUAAGUAGGCAGUAGGGGAGGGCUACGCUUGAGAGCUAUUGUGUGAAAUCAGAUGGACAGCUGAAACACCAGAUGUGGCCUAUAACACACUCAGAAAACGGAGGUAGCUGUAGAUGGUUGAGGUGGCUGCUCGCCCCCAUUUUGCAUAUUCCUAUCCUAUGUGACUCAGUUGAACCUGGUGCAGUUUUCUGUGUUCUAAUGUUUCUCAUAGAUGAAAUCAUGCUUAAGAAAACACAAAAUUCACAUUGUGCUUAAACUAUUCCCUAAUAUAUCGGUAGCACUGGAAUAAAUUCACAUGGUCAACACAAACAUUUUAAGAGAUCUGAUGGUAUUUGCAUGCUCUGCUCACUGGAAUUUAAGCUCCACAUGAUCAAGGAACUUUCCUGUUUUAUUUGUUACAAUAUUCCUAUGUCUAAACAACUUGGUACAUAAUUGAUUUUCAGCUGGUAUUUGCUGAAUGAAUGAGUGCAUGAAUGAAUGAAUCUUCCUUCAACUUUCUUCUUUCUGCACCUACCGGCCUGCCCUUUCAAGAGUCACAGUGAUCUUCAUCAGUGUGGGGUUGCUUUUGGUGAGCGGGCAAUAAUAAGAUGACAGGAAUUUCAAAACUGCAGUGUUGGGGCUUAUAUUCUCUGAAGACAAACACCCCCCCACCACACACAAACACACACAAUCCAAACCACUACAAAUCAUUAUGAUGUCUACCUACGUUCUUCUGCUUUUGUAGUCAUGGAAGGUCUCUAAAGUUCCUUGUAUGCCUUACAAAUACCUGAUUCUAAUUAUAGAUUGUCUUGAAGACUGUGCAGAACCAUGGAUGAGGAAGGUAGAAACACCACACAGAGUCCUAUGCUAUGUGGAAAGCCUCCUGGAAUUCAUCCCAUCAGGAGCAAAGCAAGCCUCAAGUCUAACCGUCAGCAAGUAAAUUUUCUGAGAAAUUCGAGCCUCUGUCUCUCUUCUCCAUAAAAAUAUGUCUGAGACCUAAAAUCUAAUCACUCUUUCACUAAGUCAGAGAACAGAAAUAGAAGUGGCUUUGAAAGGUCAUCCCAGACAGGUGGGUUAUGUCAUAUUCCUAAAGGGUUUGGAAAUUGUUUGAAUUUCAGGGAAAUUGUCUAGCACUACUAAGUAAAAGGUCAAAUCAGAAAGUCCCCAAAGAGCUAAAGAAUGCUCUUUCUUCUAAAUUUUCUCUGAUUUAAAUUCUGAACCUAAGAAAAUGUGCCUGAAAAUGCAAAUGUUAUGAUUGAGUUGCUUUAGUUUAUCAGGCAAAAUAGGGAAUAUUUUGUUAUGAUUCUUUACUUCCUCAGUAACUGCUCAAUCUUAUGGAGAGUUGAGUGGAGUGGCAAAGUAAUUACAUGGUGAGUACCAUAUAUUUACGAUUAUUUAUGUUUUCUAGAUUGGAGUACAGGGUAAUUAUUUUUGGUCUUAUUAAGUGCAAAUUACCAAGUAGUCUUCAGGAACAUGUAAUUACUAUGUACUGUAGUCACAUGCCACUUAUCAAGCAAAAUGAAUGCAGUCAAAAUUUUAUUUAAUACAAGCAAAACGAUGCAUGUGGUUUUAGGAAGCAAAGUACAGGAACCUGCCUUCCUGUCUUGGGAGAACAAACAGAAGCAGUUCUUAACUUAGGGCUCUUCUUCAAUGAACAAAUCAACAUUCUAAAAGGUUGAUGCUUGUUAAGAAUACAGAUGUCUGAAGCCCCAAUCUAGACAUAUAAACAAUCCUAGGAGAUGAGGUUGGAGAGUCUGGUUUUUAGCAAGUCCUCAAGGUGUUGUAUGUGCUCACUGCUUUGAAAUGGUACCUGCCUGAGAUUCACAAAAUACUCUGACCAGCAGUGUUACCUUUACACAUAACAGGUGGGGAAAAAUGGAGACCUCGGGGGUGUGAAUUUUUCUGUUUUUCACUGUUUGACUAGUUUGUAUUCUUUUUAGAUUGCACUUUGACAUGUAUCUUUGCUCUCACUUGCAAGGAUACAGAAGUGUUAUUAUACAUUGAGCAUUCUUUGUGAGUUGUUUUCUAUUAUACGUAGACUACCUACAUUCAAUUUAGUUUAGAUAUUUUAGAUCUUAGUGGACAUACAAAGACACACACAUGGACACAAAAUACACAAAAUCUAAAGGACAGCAGUAUGAAGCCAGAGUGAUUUGCCUCAUGGUGACAUCAAGGGCAGACUUUAUUCAAAAGAUAUUUCCUGAGCACUUACACU